GACGAACGCUGGCGGCGUGCUUAACACAUGCAAGUCGAACGGAAAGGCCCGGCUUUUGUGGGGUGCUCGAGUGGCGAACGGGUGAGUAACACGUGAGUAACCUGCCCUUGACUUUGGGAUAACUUCAGGAAACUGGGGCUAAUACCGGAUAGGAGCUCCUGCUGCAUGGGGGGGGUUGGAAAGUUUCGGCGGUUGGGGAUGGACUCGCGGCUUAUCAGCUUGUUGGUGGGGUAGUGGCUUACCAAGGCUUUGACGGGUAGCCGGCCUGAGAGGGUGACCGGCCACAUUGGGACUGCGAUACGGCCCAGACUCCUACGGGAGGCAGCAGUGGGGAAUAUUGCACAAUGGGCGGAAGCCUGAUGCAGCAACGCCGCGUGCGGGAUGACGGCCUUCGGGUUGUAAACCGCUUUCGCCUGUGACGAAGCGUGAGUGACGGUAAUGGGUAAAGAAGCACCGGCUAACUACGUG
Molecule: ribosomal RNA, 468 nt
Filed under: uncultured bacterium
Lineage: Bacteria
Description: partial 16S ribosomal RNA
Rfam family: Bacterial small subunit ribosomal RNA
Source: RNAcentral